GGCUUCAUAGCUCAGUUGGUUAGAGCGUCACACCGGUAUCACGAGGUCAUGGGUUCAAACCCCGUUGAAGUCC
Molecule: transfer RNA, 73 nt
Filed under: Acropora cervicornis
Lineage: Eukaryota; Metazoa; Cnidaria; Anthozoa; Scleractinia; Acroporidae
Description: tRNA-OTHER
Rfam family: tRNA
About the family: Transfer RNA (tRNA) molecules are approximately 80 nucleotides in length. Their secondary structure includes four short double-helical elements and three loops (D, anti-codon, and T loops).
Source: RNAcentral